CAGUCGUACUUAUGGGUAAUCAGCCUUUUGGGUGUGAUUUUGUGGAGCGUGAGGAGUUAAACGCCUUCAUGCCUGCAUAUUCGUGCACUUUGGGUGUACUUGCUCGUGUGGUAGGUUAACAUCAAUUUUGGUCAUCAAUAAAAUGGCUGGAGGAAUGUAGCUUCGGUCUCGUAUUGAAGUGUUAUAGACUCUGGUAGAUGUGACGGUUGGAUUGAGGAUUGCAACGGAUACCCUUCGGGGCUACCCGUCUGAUCUCUGAAGGUUGCUCCGGUGCCGAAAGCGUGCUUACGGUCAU
This 295-nucleotide ribosomal RNA is filed under the name Glomus sp. (unid). Lineage: Eukaryota; Fungi; Glomeromycota; Glomeromycetes; Glomerales; Glomeraceae. The record is from RNAcentral.